Molecule: ribosomal RNA, 421 nt
Filed under: uncultured bacterium
Lineage: Bacteria
Description: partial 16S ribosomal RNA
Rfam family: Bacterial small subunit ribosomal RNA
Source: RNAcentral
UGGGGAAUAUUGCACAAUGGGCGCAAGCCUGAUGCAGCCAUGCCGCGUGUGUGAAGAAGGCCUUCGGGUUGUAAAGCACUUCUCAGCGGAGGAAGGAGGUGGUGAGCUUAAUACGCUCAUCAAUUGACGUUACUCGCAGAAGAAGCACCGGCUAACUCCGUGCCAGCAGCCGCGGUAAUACGAAGGGUGCAAGCGUUAAUCGGAAUUACUGGGCGUAAAGCGCACGCAGGCGGUUUGUUAAGUCAGAUGUGAAAUCCCCGGGCUCAACCUGGGAACUGCAUUUGAAACUGGCAAGCUAGAGUCUCGUAGAGGGGGGUAGAAUUCCAGGUGUAGCGGUGAAAUGCGUAGAGAUCUGGAGGAAUACCGGUGGCGAAGGCGGCCCCCUGGACGAAGACUGACGCUCAGGUGCGAAAGCGUGGGG